AAGGCCGGCAAGUACGCCGAGCGCGUGGGCGCCGGCGCCCCUGUCUACCUCGCAGCUGUCCUCGAGUACCUCGCCGCUGAGGUUCGUGCCCCGUUUCCAUUUCGCCUUAACUGUGGGGUUCGCUUCGGGUCCCUGUCGCUGCCGUCCUAUCUGGUUGUUGCUCCGUCUGCGGUGCGACAGCUCCUAGAUCUGAAUCGAAUAGUCUCGUUGAUUUGUUGCAUAAUUAUAAAGUGAUUUCAAAGGAUUUGUCGCCGGCAUUAUCUGCACUUUUGCUUUAUUGGUGACCAAAACAAUUCCUCUUGAUUAUUUGCUAGAAUAGUAAAUCUAUCUAGGAGUCCUAUAAUUAAGCUGUCAUCAGUAAUUUUGUACAUCAAACGUUCUAGAAACAUGAGCUAAAUGCCUCUUUACUAUUUUUGCCUGUAGCAUUCUGUCUCGGCUUCGCCUUUUAUCCCGCGAAACCCCAAGCGCCAGAAGCAAUUUCAUCUGACCUACCUUUUCGUUUUUAUUCGAUGCUUCAACAGGUCCUGGAGCUUGCUGGGAACGCAGCGAGGGAUAACAAGAAGACCCGCAUCGUGCCGCGUCACAUCCAGCUCGCCGUGCGCAACGACGAGGAGCUGACCAAGCUGCUUGGUGGUGCCACCAUCGCGAGCGGCGGCGUUAUGCCCAACAUCCACCAGCACCUCCUCCCCAAGAAGGCUGGCUCGUCCAAGGCUUCCACCGUCGAUGACGAUGACAACUGAAGCUGCCCACUGGAGAAGGCAUUCGCUACCGUCUUGUUUCCUAGGUUUAGCACGCAGUUAGUCGCCAUGUCUUUGAGAGAGUUCGAUGUGUUUGGGAAUGACAAUAGUUCCUUUCUUGGUUCCCUAAGUUCGUUGAAUCAGAUGUGAAUACGGCUAAGGUUUUUGGGUUAUGCAACUCUGGGACGUACGCCAGUUGAUUUGAUCGUUUGAAAAGAAAUGGAAGGACGUUAAAGUUUGAACAAUUCUGAUGCGUUUUAUUUCAAUUUCUGUUCAGAAUUAGCUAUCUGUUGCUGCUCCGAUUUCAGUGUGUACCUCAUUUACUUUUGAGGUAACAAGCUCGUUUCAACUGUGUUUUCACCGAUAAUUGGAACAAAUUGAUCGACAAUUUAGCACACAACAGUUUCUUAGGAAUCAGCCGCCGAAAUGCCCGCAAGAAAUGACAAAUUCUGAGGCCGACGCCCGGGCAAACGGCUCUGUUUGAGUGUAAAGCUAAUUCGUACACAUUAAAACCACACUCAUGCAAUAUGCAGUGUAAAAAAAUGUUUUGAUUGACCAAACAGGUGAACUGCUAGACAUGGUGUAAUAGGUAUAAAAAGACUUGUUUACUCGAUUCCGCUGGUUAACGUUUAAUCUGUAUCAAAUUGGAUUUUUGAAUGUCAAUUACAAACAUCAAUUAGUAAGUCUUGGACUGUAGUUUGUCGUGUUGUUUUGUCUUUAUGUUGAACAAAAUCCUCAUGGCUCGAUUACUGUAUCAGGGUUCAACAAAAUCUUUAUGGCUCAAUUACUCGUACGACUUAACUUGUUAAUGGCUUGGCUUGUUUUAUUAUUUUAGCAGAUGAAUCGGUCUUCUAGCUCGGUUCUCUGACGAGUCAACUCUCAAUGACAAGCACUUUAUCUAGUUAUCAGUGACGCCUCACCUAUUCUAGUUUUGUUCUCUCGUAGUUAUAACAUAUAUAUAGACAUAUGUGCAUGUUCCAUGUAAUUAAAUUUAUGUAUGGCUAUAUAUUUAUAUUGUUUAUUUAAUAUUUGAUUACUAGUGUUGGUUUUAUGAAUUUGUGUUUACUAGAAGUAUACAACAUUAGUGUUGUGAAAUGAAAUAUUAUAUAUUUGUGGAAUGAAUGAUUGAACCCAGAUUGGUGCGUACCUCUUUGUUGGGUGUGUCAUAUCGAGUUUUUUUAGCUUUGGGUUGUUUUUGGGUUGAGUUAGAUUUUAAAUAAAAAAUCAUGUUAGCAAUCUCUUUUUCUAUAUCUUUAAUUUCUAGAGUGGUUUCCUAAAUCUCCUGUUAUAUGGCACUAUAACAAUAAAAUAUUAUUUGUCAUACCUAUUAAUUAUCAGUUACUAUUUUUUCUUAAUUAACAAACUAUGCUGCCCACGGAAAUCAAGACUAGGAGGCCGGCAGGCGCGUCUCCAAAUAUGGUGGUUCGCUGUACAAAACGUUAACAUUAUAGCUGUUGCGGGGGGAAAUGAUGAACACAAAUCGUCGCCAGAGUGAGGUGGGUGCGUUCGGCGGUGACCGCUGCUAUGGGAAAAAAAAGUCUCGGAGGCCCACUGGCAAUUUAUGUGCGACCCACAAUCCGGACGAAACGGUGUCGCGGCAAAACAAAACCAACCUUCACCGCACCGCACGUCACUCUCUCUCCAAGUAACAUUGGACGGUCAGGAUCGUUGCCCUACCGCAUUCCCCAUCCUGCCACGUCACCGAUCCGCGUCCUCCUGUCCCAUUGGCUAUCGUAGCUAUAUAACACAACUACCCACCGCUUUCAUAGUCCUGAUUACAAACCCGUCCUCUGUCCGUCCUACCACCACAGCUCACCGCGGUUUGGCUUUCUCCCCUCUUCCGCACCCGCUUCUCGCUCCGGAUUCCCUCUGCUCUUUCCCUAACGAAGGUAGCCAUGGCGGGGAGAGGUAAGGCGAUCGGCUCAGGCGCCGCCAAGAAGGCCACGUCCAGGAGCUCCAAGGCUGGCCUCCAGUUCCCCGUGGGAAGGAUCGCCAGGUUCCUCAAGGCCGGCAAGUAUGCCGAGAGAGUCGGCGCCGGCGCCCCUGUCUACCUCGCUGCCGUGCUCGAGUAUCUUGCUGCUGAGGUAAAGAAGGCUUCCGAUUUUGUGGCUAUUGGCUAAUUCUUUUAUUUUUGUUUUGAGCAUUGAAAAUUUGGCUGCUGGGGUUUCCUUUUUCUUUUUAUAUAAAAUGGGUGUUAAUUGCUGAAAUUACUGAAUUGAAGUAGAACACCAGGCGGAUUUUGGCUGAAGAUCUAAACCUAUCGUUGGUUGAUUUGCUAUUUUCUGUUGAACCAGUAAGGAUUCUGAUUCAAUAAUUGGGGGCUUUCUCCGUGUUCGUUCGUGC
RNAcentral lists this long non-coding RNA (3080 nucleotides) under Zea mays. RNAcentral's name for it is "long non-coding RNA (ZMAY_LNC001260)". Lineage: Eukaryota; Viridiplantae; Streptophyta; Magnoliopsida; Poales; Poaceae. The record is from RNAcentral.